Molecule: long non-coding RNA, 317 nt
Filed under: Capsicum annuum
Lineage: Eukaryota; Viridiplantae; Streptophyta; Magnoliopsida; Solanales; Solanaceae
Description: long non-coding RNA (CANN_LNC000761)
Source: RNAcentral
GUGGUCGGUUUUUCUGGAAAAUUUUAAAAAAAUAAAAAUCAAAACUCAAAUACAGCAUGCAACAAAAACAAUCCAAUACAGCAGAAACCAAAUCCAAUACAGCAGCAACAACAACCAAAAACUAAAUGUAAAUACUUUCAAAACUGUACAACACAUACAAAAUGUCCAACAAAAGUUAGUAUGAAAAAACUACAACAAUAGUUUCAAACAACAAAAUGUCUAAAUUCAAAGUAGAACACAUACAAAAAUAAAAAAACUAAAAGUUAUUGUCAUUGAAUUCGUCCUCGUCUUCCAUAUCAUCAUCCGUGCUAAAAUCA